Theobroma umbraticum is the source of this 1080-nucleotide long non-coding RNA. RefSeq lists it as uncharacterized. NCBI's taxonomy places the organism in Eukaryota, Viridiplantae, Streptophyta, Magnoliopsida, Malvales, Malvaceae. The record is from RefSeq and is a predicted model, not a curated record.
UUCGAAAAUGACUUUUGAAAUGGAUUUUUGAGAACCUAAACUGAUUUUCAAAUAGUUUUACCAAACCUAGAGAUUCAAGAGUAGGUCGAAUGUUACAUUGGGAUAGUGUGACCGUUGUGCACAAGUGAGUUUUAGCUAGAGAACCUUUGAGUCGCCGAUGGACUAUUAGACAUGGCUGAGGCCAUAGUUUGUGAUCUAUACGUGGCAAGGCCAUGGGUUGAUAUAUGUGGCUAGGCCAUAAGUGAUAUACAUGGUUACGACUGCCUGAUUUCUCUAACGUCGGCUAACAUCGUUAAGGCUUCCAUGGUUAUGGGGAUCUGGUGGAGCGGAGCUCUUGGAUAUUAUUAUGUGGAAGCGGAUAAGUAACCAGUUCAAGAAUAUUGUCAUAGCAAACCUUGAUUCACUAUGAUUAUUGUCCCUCAAGUGCAUUUUAAUCUCCAUUCUGGACCACCAAUUCUUAGGCUCUAGUUUAUAACAACAACUCAUCACACAUUGUUGGGGUAAGAGGUAAUCAUAUAAUUCUCAGUGUGUCUAAAUCACGUUCAUUCAUGGUAGUAGUUUCAUUGAACUAUGGUAGCAUUAAUAAAUGCACAGAUUCAUUCAACUUGUUGGUUAACAAUGGUGUAGCCGCUAGUCAACUUGUGAAUAUCCAUUCAUUGAAAUAUUCCAUAGUCUGGAACAAGUAUCAUCAUGCUAAAACAAGCUAUUUUCUUCUUCUUUUCAUUCUCCUAAACUGUGAGUACUUUGCUUACUUGAUUCCUUAUUGUCUAGAUAACUUUUAUACAUAACAAGAUUGUGGUGAAGCAAUUAGCAAUUUCCAUGAAAAUAUGAAGUCCAACAUAAAAAAUAUUGCUUUAUUUCCUCAUGUAAAUCUCUUGUAGGAUAAAGCUAGAGAAGUUUGCUAGUUAAAUCACUUUCUUGGCUUUUCUUCUCUCAUCUCUGCAUCUUUUAUUGUUAUUGUCAACAUCUUCCAACAUUCUCUGUCACUGUCACUCAGCAUAGGUAUGUUUACCCCCUACCCUAUUAUUUUUGAUUCCCAUAAUUAGUAAGAAUUUAUUGCUUAUUUGCCUUCUUAAUUUG